AGUUGAGUAGUUUAACAAGAACAUUCAGUUGUCAAUUGAGAGGUGUUGAAUAACCUUAACUG
RNAcentral lists this transfer RNA (62 nucleotides) under Goniodes dissimilis (brown chicken louse). RNAcentral describes it as "tRNA-Asp". The record is from RNAcentral. Lineage: Eukaryota; Metazoa; Arthropoda; Insecta; Psocodea; Philopteridae.